Molecule: small nucleolar RNA, 89 nt
Organism: Cornus florida
Lineage: Eukaryota; Viridiplantae; Streptophyta; Magnoliopsida; Cornales; Cornaceae
Product: small nucleolar RNA snoR114
Exons: 1
Source: RefSeq, a predicted model, not a curated record
GUGCGAUGACGAUAACUGCGCCUAUUGUGAAGGAAGGGUCCUUCACUUUGUCUGAUUUUCGGACAAAAAAACCAGGCGCCUUAGAGCAU